AAUUUUGGACAAUGGGGGAAACCGUAAUCCGGCCAUCCGGGUGGAGUGAAGAAGCCCUUCGGGUGGUAAAGCUUUUUCGGCCGGAAGGAAAGGGACGCUGUUAAUACCGGUGUGUAAUGACGGUACCGUCAGAAGAAGCACCGGCUAACUAUGUGCCAGCAGCCGCGGUAAUACGGAGGGUGCGAGCGUUGUUCGGAAUUAUUGGGCGUAAAGCGUGCGCAGGCGGUUUUUUAAGUCAGAUGUGAAAUCCCCGGGCUUAACCCGGGAAGUGCAUUUGUGACUGCAAGACUAGAGUACGGGAGAGGGGGGUGGAAUUCCAGGUGUAGCGGUGAAAUGCGUAGAUAUGUGGAGGAACACCGGUGGCGAAGGCGGCCCCCUGGGCCGAUACUGACGCUCAGGCGCGAAAGCGUGGGGAGCAAACAGGAUUAGAUACCCUGGUAGUCCACGCCGUAAACGAUGUCAACUAGGGUGUUGGGGAUAGGAGACCUCUUCAGUGCCGCAGCU
This 504-nucleotide ribosomal RNA is filed under the name uncultured beta proteobacterium. RNAcentral describes it as "bacterial SSU rRNA". It matches the Rfam family "Bacterial small subunit ribosomal RNA", at positions 360 to 853 of the family's 1533-position model. The record is from RNAcentral. Lineage: Bacteria; Pseudomonadati; Pseudomonadota; Betaproteobacteria.